This 288-nucleotide unclassified non-coding RNA is filed under the name uncultured fungus. RNAcentral describes it as "partial contains 5.8S rRNA, ITS2 and 28S rRNA". It matches the Rfam family "Eukaryotic large subunit ribosomal RNA", at positions 668 to 961 of the family's 3401-position model. Lineage: Eukaryota; Fungi. The record is from RNAcentral.
AAGGAGUCUAACAUGCCUGCGAGUAUUAGGGUGGAAAACCCUUGUGCGUAAUGAAAGUGAAAGUUGGGACCUCUUGCGAGGGCACCGACGCCCGGCCCUGAAGUUUACUGACGGCGCUGCGGUAGAGCAUGUAUGUUGGGACCCGAAAGAUGGUGAACUAUGCCUGAAUAGGGUGAAGCCAGGGGAAACUCUGGUGGAGGCUCGUAGCGAUUCUGACGUGCAAAUCGAUCGUCAAAUUUGGGUAUAGGGGCGAAAGACUAAUCGAACCAUCUAGUAGCUGGUUCCUGC